Molecule: ribosomal RNA, 474 nt
Filed under: uncultured bacterium
Lineage: Bacteria
Description: partial 16S ribosomal RNA
Rfam family: Bacterial small subunit ribosomal RNA
Source: RNAcentral
GACGAACGCUGGCGGCGUGCUUAACACAUGCAAGUCGAGCGGUAAGGCUCCUUCGGGAGUACACGAGCGGCGAACGGGUGAGUAACACGUGAGUAAUCUGCCCUUCACUUCGGGAUAACCACCGGAAACGGUGGCUAAUACCGAAUACGACCAGUCUUCGCAUGAGGUGCUGGUGGAAAGUCUUUUCGGUGAAGGAUGUGCUCGCGGCCUAUCAGCUUGUUGGUGGGGUAAUGGCCUACCAAGGCUUCGACGGGUAGCCGGCCUGAGAGGGUGACCGGCCACACUGGGACUGAGACACGGCCCUGACUCCUACGGGAGGCAGCAGUGGGGAAUAUUGGACAAUGGGCGAAAGCCUGAUCCAGCAACGCCGCGUGAGGGAUGACGGCCUUCGGGUUGUAAACCUCUUUCAGUACCGACGAAGCGCCCUGUCGGGUGGUGACGGUAGGUACAGAAGAAGGACCGGCCAACUACGUG